AAAGUCGUAACAAGGUCUCCGUAGGUGAACCUGCGGAGGGAUCAUUAACACGUUAUCCAACACGUUAUUAAAACCAAAACCGUGCUCCUCUUCUUGCCCAUCACUGGAAGGUGUAUAUGUAAGCCAUAGGAUAGAUUCAAGUGUUCGCACUUGUCUGCUUGCAGUACUACGAUCUCUUUGAGGAUCAAACCGCUCUGGUAUGGUGUAUCAAACGCUAUCUUGGUUAUCAGUGCCACCCCGGUAUCGACCCGGAGCCUGGUAGCCUUAUUAAUCCCUAUUUUUUAACCCCUUUAAUUUUUAAAAAAACUACUGAUUUUACCCUUUUCAUGGACCAUCUGAUGGUCGUAGAAAUGGUGUAUACGAAAUUGCGAACAACUCUUAGCAACGGAUAUCUUGGUUCUC
RNAcentral lists this unclassified non-coding RNA (402 nucleotides) under Ascomycota sp. Its description in RNAcentral is "partial contains small subunit ribosomal RNA, internal transcribed spacer 1, and 5.8S ribosomal RNA". The stretch from base 1 to 47 matches the Rfam family "Eukaryotic small subunit ribosomal RNA", at positions 1785 to 1831 of the family's 1831-position model. The record is from RNAcentral. Lineage: Eukaryota; Fungi; Ascomycota.